Molecule: ribosomal RNA, 497 nt
Filed under: uncultured bacterium
Lineage: Bacteria
Description: partial 16S ribosomal RNA
Rfam family: Bacterial small subunit ribosomal RNA
Source: RNAcentral
GAUGAACGCUGGCGGCGUGCCUAAUACAUGCAAGUCGAGCGAACAGACGAGGAGCUUGCUCCUCUGACGUUAGCGACUGACGGGUGAGUAACACGUGGAUAACAUACCUAUAAUACUGGGAUAACUUCGGGAAACCGGAGCUAAUACCGGAUAAUAUAUUGAACCGCAUGGUUCAAUAGUGAAAGACGCUUUUGCUGUCUCUAAUAGAUGGAUCCGCGCCGCAUUAGCUAGUUGGUAAGGUAACGGCUUACCAAGGCAACGAUGCGUAGCCGACCUGAGAGGGUGAUCGGCCACACUGGAACUGAGACACGGUCCAGACUCCUACGGGAGGCAGCAGUAGGGAAUAUUCCGCAAUGGGCGAAAGCCUGACGGAGCAACGCCGCGUGAGUGAUGAAGGUCUUCGGAUCGUAAAGCUCUGUUAUUAGGGAAGAACAACUGUGUAAGUAACUAUGCACGUCUUGACGGUACCUAAUCAGAAAGCCACGGCUAACUACGUG